This 78-nucleotide transfer RNA is filed under the name Archaeoglobus fulgidus. Its description in RNAcentral is "RNA (78-MER) from Archaeoglobus fulgidus (PDB 3AMT, chain B)". It matches the Rfam family "tRNA". From Rfam's summary of the family: Transfer RNA (tRNA) molecules are approximately 80 nucleotides in length. The record is from RNAcentral. Lineage: Archaea; Methanobacteriati; Methanobacteriota; Archaeoglobi; Archaeoglobales; Archaeoglobaceae.
GGGCCCGUAGCUUAGCCAGGUCAGAGCGCCCGGCUCAUAACCGGGCGGUCGAGGGUUCGAAUCCCUCCGGGCCCACCA